Molecule: transfer RNA, 77 nt
Filed under: Candidatus Yanofskybacteria bacterium RIFCSPHIGHO2_02_FULL_44_36b
Lineage: Bacteria; Candidatus Yanofskyibacteriota
Also listed under: 4 other names
Description: tRNA-Val
Rfam family: tRNA
About the family: Transfer RNA (tRNA) molecules are approximately 80 nucleotides in length. Their secondary structure includes four short double-helical elements and three loops (D, anti-codon, and T loops). Further hydrogen bonds mediate the characteristic L-shaped molecular structure. tRNAs have two regions of fundamental functional importance: the anti-codon, which is responsible for specific mRNA codon recognition, and the 3' end, to which the tRNAs corresponding amino acid is attached (by aminoacyl-tRNA synthetases). tRNAs cope with the degeneracy of the genetic code in two manners: having more than one tRNA (with a specific anti-codon) for a particular amino acid; and 'wobble' base-pairing, i.e. permitting non-standard base-pairing at the 3rd anti-codon position.
Source: RNAcentral
GGGCGGUUAGCUCAGUUGGUUAGAGCGCGUCGUUUACACCGACGAGGUCGAGGGUUCGAGCCCUUCACCGCCCACAA